This is a long non-coding RNA of Lemur catta (Ring-tailed lemur), 1603 nucleotides long. RefSeq lists it as uncharacterized. Lineage: Eukaryota; Metazoa; Chordata; Mammalia; Primates; Lemuridae. The transcript has 3 exons. The record is from RefSeq and is a predicted model, not a curated record.
CAGCCGCCCGGGCGCGCCUGCGCGGUCUGCGGGAACAGUCCGGGCGCCGCGGGCCAGAGCGCGGGUUCUCCAGACGAGGAACCUCGGGCCCCUGCCAGCGGCGCUGCCCGGGACACGCCUGAAGUAGCGGGAGCAGCGUCUCCGUCGUCCCUGGGGGCAGAGAAGAGGCCCAGCGGCUGACCCCGGGCUCUCCGCCUCCGCUCCCCGCCGCGCUUUGUCUGUGUCUGUCGCCCCCCGGUGGCCUGGCGAGGCACCGCGCCCGCCUCGCUCCUCGCGGUGGCGCCCCCUCCCGGCUGGGCGUGUCCCUGCGCCAGGCGGCGCGUUCCAGGAGGGAACCCUGGGGUUGGAGACCAGCCUGGGCAACGUGGCGAGACCCUGUCUCUAAAAAAAAAAAAAAGGAAAUAUUUUUAAUUUUUUAAAAUUAGCCGACGUGGCGGCACGUGCGUGUAGUCCCAGAAAGUCCGUCACUGAAUGUUCACCAGGACACCUCUGCAGUCAGACGGUAGCCCGAGUGGAGGGACAGAGCAAGGCUGUAAUCGUUUUCCUUUUUCUAAGGCCUCGCACAGGAAAUGCCCACGGUGCUCAACUCCCAGCGGUGAAGGCAUUGACACGAAGGGAAUAACUUCUGCAGAGCUGAAGCCACAGGAAGACCCACCAGUUCCAGCAGGGCCGGUUCCCUGAUGCUCUGACUGCCAAGGUUCCUGCAGGCCUGGCCGCCCCGCACAAAACGGCACCUUCUUGCUGCUGCUUAGAUUUGCAUUUACUUAAUCACUGAGGCUGAACGUUUCUCAGCAGCUCAAUUAACCCAAUUAGUUUCCGCUUUGGCCGCCUUGUCCGUGACCUUCACCCAUGUCACUCUCAGGGUCUCAGUGGUUUCCCAUCGGUUUCCUGAGCCCGGUGGGUGCCACGGUGCCAGCACUCUGCCCAGUUUCCCACAGACGGCUUUCCCAUCGUCUGCCGUCUGACUUUGUAACUGAUGUCACCGGUACUUUUAACUUUGGGCCACAGCUCUUUUCUUUUGUGCUGUCUCCCGUGACGUCCAACCUUAGAAAGCUCUUAUCUCUCCAGAGGGCUGACAAAUGUCUAAUACUAUUUUUUUUUUUAGGAAAGAUUGGUUUUUAAAAACACAAAAACCUUUCUGGCAUCUAAUCCCGUCCCCAGGUGUUUGGCGGGUGGUGUGAGGACGGACCAGCUCUGGGGGCUCGGGGGCUGGCAGGUGGGUGAGGCCCCGCUGUUGCUCCAGUCACUGAGGUCCCUGUACCUCGUUCCUCGGGACUCCAGCUUUCCCUGGCCCCUCACUUUCUGAAGCGAAUCCUGGUUUUGUGGCUUGCUUGGCUUUGAGGCAGAGCCACUCUGAGAGGAACUGGCUUUUAAAAAGCGGGGUCAGGGACAGAGAAAGCUGCCCAGGAGAGAGUAGCCCCAAAGCUCUGGAACCACCUCUGAGAUUGGGAGAGUCGUGGUAGGAUGGCUGCAGAAAUGCGGCCACCCAGACGCUGGGAAACACUCCCCAGGGUUUAUAAUUAGACAUAUUUUUACCCCUUAAAGCAGUGGUCCCCAACCAUUUUGGCACCAGGGAUUGGUUUCAUGGAAGACAAUUCUUCCA